AUGACCAGGAGACCGCAAGAGACUUCUCUGUCGCCUAUUUACAUCGUUGGUCAACAGAUUGAUGCACGCCAAGUACCAGGUCAAGGAGGACCGCCAAGUUCGUCUUUCAAUGUCUCCGAAAUCGUCAAGUACCACGACAUCAAGUACCCUGUGGAUGUGCCAAGUGCCACGACGCCGCAUAAAUUUCUUCUUGAAUGUGUAUGA
Molecule: ribosomal RNA, 204 nt
Filed under: Triticum aestivum (bread wheat)
Lineage: Eukaryota; Viridiplantae; Streptophyta; Magnoliopsida; Poales; Poaceae
Description: partial small subunit ribosomal RNA
Source: RNAcentral